GAGGGUAUAGAUCAGUGGUAGAGCACGUGCUUAGCAUGCACAAGGUCCUGGGUUCAAUCCCGGUACCUCCA
RNAcentral lists this transfer RNA (71 nucleotides) under Camelus bactrianus (Bactrian camel). It matches the Rfam family "tRNA". Rfam says of the family: Transfer RNA (tRNA) molecules are approximately 80 nucleotides in length. Their secondary structure includes four short double-helical elements and three loops (D, anti-codon, and T loops). Further hydrogen bonds mediate the characteristic L-shaped molecular structure. tRNAs have two regions of fundamental functional importance: the anti-codon, which is responsible for specific mRNA codon recognition, and the 3' end, to which the tRNAs corresponding amino acid is attached (by aminoacyl-tRNA synthetases). tRNAs cope with the degeneracy of the genetic code in two manners: having more than one tRNA (with a specific anti-codon) for a particular amino acid; and 'wobble' base-pairing, i.e. permitting non-standard base-pairing at the 3rd anti-codon position. Lineage: Eukaryota; Metazoa; Chordata; Mammalia; Artiodactyla; Camelidae. The record is from Rfam by way of RNAcentral. RNAcentral also lists the same sequence under 1 other name.